Molecule: long non-coding RNA, 383 nt
Organism: Zalophus californianus (California sea lion)
Lineage: Eukaryota; Metazoa; Chordata; Mammalia; Carnivora; Otariidae
Exons: 3
Source: RefSeq, a predicted model, not a curated record
CAAAGGGCAUUUUUACUGAGGGAGACUCUCCCAAAAAUAUCCCAACGAGAUAUUUGAUAUUUGAUUAAUAUUCCAAAGCACAACUACAUCAGAUUCACUGAGACCUUUACCAGAUACUGCAACGAGCAUUUGCUGUGUCCCCCGCACAUGUUCUGGACAGGCUGGGGUCCUUGGGAACGGUGCACAGCCCAGUGUGGGGGCGGCAUUCAAGCUCGCAGCAGGACCUGCGAGAAUGGACCUGACUGCGUGGGCUGAAUGUGUUGCUCCAGCCUGGUCAGCAGCCCAGUGAAAUCACCUCCUGGGCAAAAGCCCUCGACCACCAUUGACUGCCCUCACUGUGUGUAGAUUUCUACUUGUUUCAGCUGUAUACCUCACCUAGAAGU